This 430-nucleotide ribosomal RNA is filed under the name Bacteroidota bacterium. RNAcentral's name for it is "Bacteroidetes bacterium partial 16S ribosomal RNA". It matches the Rfam family "Bacterial small subunit ribosomal RNA", at positions 355 to 776 of the family's 1533-position model. Lineage: Bacteria; Pseudomonadati; Bacteroidota. The record is from RNAcentral.
UAGGGAAUCUUCGGCAAUGGGGGGAACCCUGACCGAGCAACGCCGCGUGAGUGAAGAAGGUUUUCGGAUCGUAAAGCUCUGUUGUUAAGGAAGAACGAGUGUGAGAAUGGAAAGUUCAUGCUGUGACGGUACUUAACCAGAAAGGGACGGCUAACUACGUGCCAGCAGCCGCGGUAAUACGUAGGUCCCGAGCGUUGUCCGGAUUUAUUGGGCGUAAAGCGAGCGCAGGCGGUUUUUUAAGUCUGAUGUGAAAGCCCACGGCUCAACCGUGGAGGGUCAUUGGAAACUGGAAAACUUGAGUGCAGAAGAGGAGAGUGGAAUUCCAUGUGUAGCGGUGAAAUGCGUAGAUAUAUGGAGGAACACCAGUGGCGAAGGCGACUCUCUGGUCUGUAACUGACGCUGAGGCUCGAAAGCGUGGGUAGCAAACAGG